CCUACGGGAGGCAGCAGGGGGGAAUAUUCCGCAAUGGGCGCAAGCCUGACGGAGCAAUACCGCGUGUGGGACGAAGGCCUUAGGGUCGUAAACCACUGUCAGAAGGGAAGAAACUGACGGUACCCUCAAGAGAAGCACCGGCUAACUCUGUGCCAACAGCCGCGGUAAGACAGAGGGUGCAAGCGUUAUCCGGAUUUAUUGGGCUGUAAAGCUCUGUAGGUGGUUCUAAUAAGUCCUGGGGUGAAAUGGUUGAGCUCAACUUCGAAAUGCCUCGGAUACUGGUGAUCUAGAGUAUGUUAGGGGUUAGUGGAAUUUCCGGUGUAGUGGUGAAAUACGUAGAUAUUCGGAGGAACACCAGAGGCGAAGGCGACUAACUGGGGCGUAACUGACGCUGAGAGACGAAAGCGUGGGG
This 412-nucleotide ribosomal RNA is filed under the name uncultured bacterium. Its description in RNAcentral is "bacterial SSU rRNA". It matches the Rfam family "Bacterial small subunit ribosomal RNA", at positions 338 to 766 of the family's 1533-position model. The record is from RNAcentral.